This 169-nucleotide ribosomal RNA is filed under the name Diphysa macrophylla. Its description in RNAcentral is "5.8S ribosomal RNA". It matches the Rfam family "5.8S ribosomal RNA". Rfam says of the family: 5.8S ribosomal RNA (5.8S rRNA) is a component of the large subunit of the eukaryotic ribosome. It is transcribed by RNA polymerase I as part of the 45S precursor that also contains 18S and 28S rRNA. Functionally, it is thought that 5.8S rRNA may be involved in ribosome translocation. Lineage: Eukaryota; Viridiplantae; Streptophyta; Magnoliopsida; Fabales; Fabaceae. The record is from RNAcentral.
GUCUAAAAUGACUCUCGGCAACGGAUAUCUCGGCUCUUGCAUCGAUGAAGAACGUAGCGAAAUGCGAUACUUGGUGUGAAUUGCAGAAUCCCGUGAACCAUCGAGUCUUUGAACGCAAGUUGCGCCCGAAGCCAUUAGGCUGAGGGCACGCCUGCCUGGGUGUCACUAA